RNAcentral lists this long non-coding RNA (1027 nucleotides) under Equus asinus (donkey). RNAcentral's name for it is "lncRNA (ENSEASG00005036220.1)". Lineage: Eukaryota; Metazoa; Chordata; Mammalia; Perissodactyla; Equidae. The record is from RNAcentral.
CGGCGGCGACCGUUGGGCGUCAGCGGACUUGGCAGCGGGGACGUUGGCGGCAGCGGCCCCUCAGAGCCUGGACCCUGGUGAGGGCGCCGACCCCGGUCGUGUGUGGCAGGUGCGACAGUCGCGGGCGCUGAGCAGGGACCAGACUCCGCUCGCGCUCCUCGUCCUGAACGCGCUGACUGACUGGAAGGUGUCGCCGCCCCGCGUGCCCCCUGAGGAGGAUGUGCAGAUGGACACGCGGAUAUUCACACGGAGAAGAAGGACAUGUGACAACAGAGAAAGAGAUUGGUGCACAAUCUGAAGAAUGCCAAGGAUUUCCAGGAGCCACCAGAAGCUAGAAAGUGGCAAAGAAAGAUCUUCCCUAGAGUCUUCAUGGGAGCAUGGUCCUGCCAACGUCUUUAUUUCAGAAUUCUAACUCCACAACUUAAACAGAACACAUUUCCCUUGCUUUUAGCCACCCAGUUUGUGGUACAUUGUUACAGCAGCCCUAAGAACAAAUAUAUCAGAGCAGCACACAUCCAAUGACAGUGCUUAAGGUUUAAAAGUCAGGUCAUAUGAAAGUGCAGCAGAAGAACUAACCCCAACAUGAUAACCUGCAAGUUUGGUGAAUCAUAUUUGUGGAUGUAUAAAUACCUAAUUCAUGACUUUUGUGUAGUUCUCUGUCUUAAUUUGAAACUCUGUCUGGAUCCCAAUAUUAUGAGGUGCAAGUAGGAGUGACCACUCUUUUCAUCACUGUUAGUGGUCCACUUGGGGAAUUUGUGUCUUCAUUCCCUACAAUGCUGGUCUCUGUGGAUUUGCAAGUUGUGGCACCUAGAUGGAGAAUAGUUAUUCAGAGACCCAGCAAGAGUCUCAAUAAAUUCCACGUUCAGCUCUACUGGGUCACUAGACGCUCCUCAUAACAAGAGACCUAAAGCUGUGGAGAAGAGUCCCAAACUGGCAAAAGCAGUGGACUUUGAUGAUCAGCAUGUGGUAGGGCUGCUUUCAUCCAAGAGACAAAGUAAAUUUUGAGCUUCACUUAAAGGGGUUUUAU